This 391-nucleotide RNase P RNA is filed under the name Vibrio sp. T11.5. RNAcentral describes it as "RNase P RNA component class A". It matches the Rfam family "Bacterial RNase P class A". From Rfam's summary of the family: Ribonuclease P (RNase P) is a ubiquitous endoribonuclease, found in archaea, bacteria and eukarya as well as chloroplasts and mitochondria. Its best characterised activity is the generation of mature 5'-ends of tRNAs by cleaving the 5'-leader elements of precursor-tRNAs. The record is from RNAcentral. Lineage: Bacteria; Pseudomonadati; Pseudomonadota; Gammaproteobacteria; Vibrionales; Vibrionaceae.
GGAGUUGACUGGGUAGUCGCUGCUUCAUUGAUGUCCCUAGCCUUGUGUUGGGGAGACUGAUGAAGGGGAGGAAAGUCCGGGCUCCAUAGAGCAGGGUGCCAGGUAACGCCUGGGAGGCGCAAGCCUACGACAAGUGCAGCAGAGAGAAGACCGCCGAUGGCCUAAGGGUACAGGUAAGGGUGAAAGGGUGCGGUAAGAGCGCACCGGGCGACUGGUAACAGUUCGCUGCAAGGUAAACUCCACCCGGAGCAAGACCAAAUAGGCUUCCACAUUGCGUUGCUCGCGUAAGGAAGCGGGUAGGUUGCUUGAGCCAGUGAGCGAUUGCUGGCCUAGACGAAUGGCUACCACCGCAUAAGCGGAACAGAACCCGGCUUACAUGUCGGCUCCACCU